GACGAACGCUGGCGGCGUGCUUAACACAUGCAAGUCGUACGGUAAGGCCCUUUCGGGGGUACACGAGUGGCGAACGGGUGAGUAACACGUGAGUAACCUGCCCACAACUUUGGGAUAGCGCUAGGAAACUGGUGCUAAUACUGGAUAUGUGCUCCUGCUGCAUGGUGGGGGUUGGAAAGCUCCGGCGGUUGUGGAUGGACUCGCGGCCUAUCAGCUUGUUGGUGGGGUAGUGGCCUACCAAGGCGGCGACGGGUAGCCGGCCUGAGAGGGUGACCGGCACAUUGGGACUGAGAUACGGCCCAGACUCCUACGGGAGGCAGCAGUGGGGAAUAUUGCACAAUGGGCGCAAGCCUGAUGCAGCAACGCCGCGUGCGGGAUGACGGCCUUCGGGUUGUAAACCGCUUUCAGCAGGGACGAAGCUUUUUGUGACGGUACCUGCAGAAGAAGCACCGGCUAACUACGUG
This 464-nucleotide ribosomal RNA is filed under the name uncultured bacterium. RNAcentral's name for it is "partial 16S ribosomal RNA". It matches the Rfam family "Bacterial small subunit ribosomal RNA", at positions 28 to 507 of the family's 1533-position model. The record is from RNAcentral.